Molecule: long non-coding RNA, 830 nt
Organism: Macrosteles quadrilineatus (aster leafhopper)
Lineage: Eukaryota; Metazoa; Arthropoda; Insecta; Hemiptera; Cicadellidae
Exons: 2
Source: RefSeq, a predicted model, not a curated record
CCAUCUCUGUCGUGGCUAACCUUAUUUUAAGAGCUGACGAAGUUAAGGACCAGUGCUCUGAACCUAAUGUACUAACUGAGUGGAACAAUUUCCUAAUUAGGACUUUGGAAGCGACCCGCAACAUGAGUAACACUGAGAGGCCCGUCAUAGCUGUAGAACGAAGCAUUCUCGUUAGACAUCUAAUGCCAGUUAAGGAUCAGGUGAACAAGAGUGACAUUGAGGCGUUGAUGCAGCUACUACAGCCAGCUAAUACGUCAGCUCGUGUGCCGUCCCCAGAAGAGAUCUGAACGCUAUAACUUUGACUGACGUCGGUUAUGUGCAAUAAAUGCCUGGUCACAUGGUGAUCUGGACAUUUCCUGUUUAUUCAAAAGACAUUGUUAAUCAAGGCCUAUUUAUCGAGUCAUUUAUAGAAGAAAUAUUGUAGGCUUUGAUAUUUAAUAUAUUGUUCCUUUUACUGGCAUCGAGUGUAAGCCAAUUUACCGAAGAAACGUCUCUGUAUUAAUUGUUGUAAUUUUAAGAGUUAAACACUUUUAACUUUUAUAUUCAAAUUCAGUUAUAUUUUUUUAAGUAUUCUUAGCCUAUUUUUACAUUUUUAAUGUUUUAAUACAAUUUAUAACCUUUGUUCUGCAUUUUUGUUUUAAUUUUCUAUACAUAGGUUUGAAAGAACCUUAUUUGUUGUUUAUAUAUUUCAGUUUUUUUAAUAUUUCCUGCCAGCUGCAGCUGUAAAAUAGAUGUACAUUUAAUACAUUAACUAUGUACAUUACUGUUAAUAGUUACAAUUGCCUCAUGACGGGCAAUUAUGUAUUUUAUUAAAAGUUUCUAUUCCUUUA